UGGGUUGUGGCUCAGCGGUAGAGCACUCACCUAGCAUGUGCAAGGCCCUGGGUUCGAUCCUCAGCACCAUAU
RNAcentral lists this transfer RNA (72 nucleotides) under Ictidomys tridecemlineatus (thirteen-lined ground squirrel). Its description in RNAcentral is "Spermophilus tridecemlineatus (thirteen-lined ground squirrel) tRNA". It matches the Rfam family "tRNA". Rfam says of the family: Transfer RNA (tRNA) molecules are approximately 80 nucleotides in length. Their secondary structure includes four short double-helical elements and three loops (D, anti-codon, and T loops). Further hydrogen bonds mediate the characteristic L-shaped molecular structure. tRNAs have two regions of fundamental functional importance: the anti-codon, which is responsible for specific mRNA codon recognition, and the 3' end, to which the tRNAs corresponding amino acid is attached (by aminoacyl-tRNA synthetases). tRNAs cope with the degeneracy of the genetic code in two manners: having more than one tRNA (with a specific anti-codon) for a particular amino acid; and 'wobble' base-pairing, i.e. permitting non-standard base-pairing at the 3rd anti-codon position. The record is from Rfam by way of RNAcentral. Lineage: Eukaryota; Metazoa; Chordata; Mammalia; Rodentia; Sciuridae.